UACGUAGGGAGCAAGCGUUGUCCGGAAUCAUUGGGCGUAAAGCGCGCGUAGGCGGCCUCGUAAGUCCGUUGUGAAAGUCAAAGGCUCAACCUUUGAAAGCCGAUGGAUACUGUGAGGCUAGAGUCCGGAAGAGGCGAGUGGAAUUCCUGGUGUAGCGGUGAAAUGCGCAGAUAUCAGGAGGAACACCAAUGGCGAAGGCAGCACUCUGGGACGUGACUGACGCUGAGACGCGAAAGCGUGGGGAGCAAACAGG
This 253-nucleotide ribosomal RNA is filed under the name uncultured bacterium. Its description in RNAcentral is "partial 16S ribosomal RNA". It matches the Rfam family "Bacterial small subunit ribosomal RNA", at positions 524 to 776 of the family's 1533-position model. The record is from RNAcentral.